Molecule: ribosomal RNA, 575 nt
Filed under: uncultured bacterium
Lineage: Bacteria
Description: partial 16S ribosomal RNA
Rfam family: Bacterial small subunit ribosomal RNA
Source: RNAcentral
UGGGGAAUUUUGGACAAUGGGCGAAAGCCUGAUCCAGCAAUGCCGCGUGUGUGAAGAAGGCCUUCGGGUUGUAAAGCACUUUUGUCCGGAAAGAAAUCCUUGGCUCUAAUACAGUCGGGGGAUGACGGUACCGGAAGAAUAAGCACCGGCUAACUACGUGCCAGCAGCCGCGGUAAUACGUAGGGUGCAAGCGUUAAUCGGAAUUACUGGGCGUAAAGCGUGCGCAGGCGGUUUGCUAAGACCGAUGUGAAAUCCCCGGGCUCAACCUGGGAACUGCAUUGGUGACUGGCAGGCUAGAGUAUGGCAGAGGGGGGUAGAAUUCCACGUGUAGCAGUGAAAUGCGUAGAGAUGUGGAGGAAUACCGAUGGCGAAGGCAGCCCCCUGGGCCAAUACUGACGCUCAUGCACGAAAGCGUGGGGAGCAAACAGGAUUAGAUACCCUGGUAGUCCACGCCCUAAACGAUGUCAACUAGUUGUUGGGGAUUCAUUUCCUUAGUAACGUAGCUAACGCGUGAAGUUGACCGCCUGGGGAGUACGGUCGCAAGAUUAAAACUCAAACGAAUUGACGGGGUCAUA